Long non-coding RNA from Tympanuchus pallidicinctus (lesser prairie-chicken), 417 nucleotides. RefSeq lists it as uncharacterized. The transcript has 3 exons. Lineage: Eukaryota; Metazoa; Chordata; Aves; Galliformes; Phasianidae. The record is from RefSeq and is a predicted model, not a curated record.
CAAAGCUUGAGCUCCUCAGGUGAUGCUGUUUGUGAGCCCGAGGUGGCACAGCUGGCUCUGAUUGUAGCCCUCUGCUUUCCAACCAAUUGGUUGUCUUUACAAAGCCCGGCCUCAGGCAGUUGUAUGGGCAUUCAUUUCCCUUGGUGUUCCCAGGGGGGGGAGUGUCUGGCUUGUUUGGUACCAGCAAGUAAGCCUGACCCUAAGCCUUCAAAGCAAGAAGGAUGGCUGUCGGGAGCAGCAGAGCUGACGUUUCCAUGGAGGUGAGGCUGCAAGAUGAGAUGCAGGGUUUGCCGAGCAAACAGAAGCCUUGAGAUAAGCUCGGUGGAGACCUCUAGCAUGGAAAUGCUGCAAGGAAAGCCGGCGACAGGGAAGGGGGGGGGGGGAGGCCGAUCUCCUCCUCCUCCUCCUCCUCCUCCU